RNAcentral lists this unclassified non-coding RNA (336 nucleotides) under soil metagenome. RNAcentral describes it as "partial contains 5.8S ribosomal RNA, internal transcribed spacer 2, and large subunit ribosomal RNA". The stretch from base 1 to 119 matches the Rfam family "5.8S ribosomal RNA", at positions 35 to 154 of the family's 154-position model. The record is from RNAcentral.
GAUGAAAACGCAGCGAAAUGCGAUAAGUAGUGUGAAUUGCAGAAUUCAGUGAAUCAUCGAAUCUUUGAACGCACAUUGCGCCCCUUGGUAUUCCAUGGGGCAUGCCUGUUCGAGCGUCAUUUGUACCCUCAAGCUAAGCUUGGUGUUGGGUGUUUGUCCACUCCCUCGUGUUUGGACUCGCAUUAAAACAAUUGGCAGCCAGUGUUUUGGUAUUGAAGCGCAGCACAAUUUGCGAUUCUAGCCUAGAAUACUAGCAUCCAUCAAGUCAUUUUUAACGCUUGACCUCGGAUCAGGUAGGGAUACCCGCUGAACUUAAACAUAUCAAUAAGCGGAGGA